AUUGAACGCUGGCGGCAGGCCUAACACAUGCAAGUCGAGCGGUAACAGGGGAAGCUUGCUUCUCGCUGACGAGCGGCGGACGGGUGAGUAAUGUAUGGGGAUCUGCCCGAUAGAGGGGGAUAACUACUGGAAACGGUAGCUAAUACCGCAUAAUCUCUUAGGAGCAAAGCAGGGGAACUUCGGUCCUUGCGCUAUCGGAUGAACCCAUAUGGGAUUAGCUAGUAGGUGAGGUAAUGGCUCACCUAGGCGACGAUCCCUAGCUGGUCUGAGAGGAUGAUCAGCCACACUGGGACUGAGACACGGCCCAGACUCCUACGGGAGGCAGCAGUGGGGAAUAUUGCACAAUGGGCGCAAGCCUGAUGCAGCCAUGCCGCGUGUAUGAAGAAGGCCCUAGGGUUGUAAAGUACUUUCAGUCGGGAGGAAGGCGUUGAUGCUAAUAUCAUCAGCGAUUGACGUUACCGACAGAAGAAGCACCGGCUAACUCCGUGCCAGCCGCCGCCGUAA
RNAcentral lists this ribosomal RNA (504 nucleotides) under uncultured bacterium. Its description in RNAcentral is "partial 16S ribosomal RNA". It matches the Rfam family "Bacterial small subunit ribosomal RNA", at positions 30 to 523 of the family's 1533-position model. The record is from RNAcentral.